AGAGUUUGAUCAUGGCUCAGAUUGAACGCUGGCGGCAGGCCUAACACAUGCAAGUCGAACGGUAACAGGAAGCAGCUUGCUGCUUUGCUGACGAGUGGCGGACGGGUGAGUAAUGUCUGGGAAACUGCCUGAUGGAGGGGGAUAACUACUGGAAACGGUAGCUAAUACCGCAUAACGUCGCAAGACCAAAGAGGGGGACCUUAGGGCCUCUUGCCAUCGGAUGUGCCCAGAUGGGAUUAGCUAGUAGGUGGGGUAACGGCUCACCUAGGCGACGAUCCCUAGCUGGUCUGAGAGGAUGACCAGCCACACUGGAACUGAGACACGGUCCAGACUCCUACGGGAGGCAGCAGUGGGGAAUAUUGCACAAUGGGCGCAAGCCUGAUGCAGCCAUGCCGCGUGUAUGAAGAAGGCCUUCGGGUUGUAAAGUCUUUCAGCGGGGAGGAAGGGAGUAAAGUUAAUACCUUUGCUCAUUGACGUUACCCGCAGAAGAAGCACCGGCUAACUCCGUGCCAGCAGCCGCGGUAAUACGGAGGGUGCAAGCGUUAAUCGGAAUUACUGGGCGUAAAGCGCACGCAGGCGGUUUGUUAAGUCAGAUGUGAAAUCCCCGGGCUCAACCUGGGAACUGCAUCUGAUACUGGCAAGCUUGAGUCUCGUAGAGGGGGGUAGAAUUCCAGGUGUAGCGGUGAAAUGCGUAGAGAUCUGGAGGAAUACCGGUGGCGAAGGCGGCCCCCUGGACGAAGACUGACGCUCAGGUGCGAAAGCGUGGGGGAGCAAACAGGAUUAGAUACCCUGGUAGUCCA
Molecule: ribosomal RNA, 800 nt
Filed under: uncultured bacterium
Lineage: Bacteria
Description: bacterial SSU rRNA
Rfam family: Bacterial small subunit ribosomal RNA
Source: RNAcentral